AACGAACGCUGGCGGCAUGCUUAACACAUGCAAGUCGAACGAGACCUUCGGGUUUAGUGUCGCACCGGUGCGUAAAGCGUGGGAACCUGUCCCUAAGUUUGCCCUAUCUCCCCGAAAGACUUGCUAAUACCGUAUAUUGUCCCCCAUCCAAAGAUUUGUCGCCUUUGGAUGGGCGCGCGUUGGAUUAGCUAGUUGGUAGGGUAAAAGCCUACCAAUGCGACGAUCGAUAGCUGGUCUGAGAGGAUGAUCAGCCACACUGGGUCUGAGACACGGCCCAGACUCCUACGGGAGGCAGCAGUGGGGAAUAUUGGACAAUGGGCGAAAGGAUGAUCCAGCAAUGCCGCGUGAGUGAUGAAGGCAUUAGGGUUGUAAAGCUCUUUUACCCGGGAUGAUAAUGACGGUACCGGGAGAAUAAGCACCGGCUAACUACGUG
RNAcentral lists this ribosomal RNA (433 nucleotides) under uncultured bacterium. RNAcentral describes it as "partial 16S ribosomal RNA". It matches the Rfam family "Bacterial small subunit ribosomal RNA", at positions 29 to 507 of the family's 1533-position model. The record is from RNAcentral.